AGUCAAGUAAUUAAGUGCAUGUGGUGGAUGCCUUGGCAGUCAGAGGCGAUGAAAGACGUGAUAGCCUGCGAAAAGCUCCGGGGAGGCGGCAAAUAUCCUUUGAUCCGGAGAUGUCUGAAUGGGGGAACCCACCUACUUUAAGGUAGGUAUUGCAACAUGAAUACAUAGUGUUGCAAGGCGAACGAGGGGAAGUGAAACAUCUCAGUACCCUUAGGAAAAGAAAUCAAUUGAGAUUCCCUCAGUAGCGGCGAGCGAACGGGGAUCAGCCCAUUAAGUUAUGUGUGUUUUAGUGGAACGCUCUGGGAAGUGCGAACGUAGAGGGUGAUAUUCCCGUACACGAAAGGGCACACAUAAUGAUGACGAGUAGGGCGAGGCACGUGAAACCUUGUCUGAAUAUGGGGGGACCAUCCUCCAAGGCUAAAUACUCCUGACUGACCGAUAGUGAACCAGUACCGUGAGGGAAAGGCGAAAAGAACCCCUGUGAGGGGAGUGAAAUAGAUCCUGAAACCGCAUGCAUACAAGCAGUGGGAGCACCUUCGUGGUGUGACUGCGUACCUUUUGUAUAAUGGGUCAGCGACUUAUAUUCAGUAGCGAGGUUAACCGUAUAGGGGAGCCGUAGAGAAAUCGAGUCUUAAUAGGGCGUUUAGUUGCUGGGUAUAGACCCGAAACCAGGCGAUCUAUCCAUGAGCAGGUUGAAGGUUGGGUAACACUAACUGGAGGACCGAACCCACUGUCGUUGAAAAGCCAGGGGAUGACUUGUGGAUAGGGGUGAAAGGCUAAUCAAGCCUGGUGAUAGCUGGUUCUCCCCGAAAGCUAUUUAGGUAGCGCCUCGGACGAAUACCAUAGGGGGUAGAGCACUGUUUCGGCUAGGGGGUCAUCCCGACUUACCAAACCGAUGCAAACUCCGAAUACCUAUGAGUACUAUCCGGGAGACAGACUGCGGGUGCUAACGUCCGUAGUCAAGAGGAAAACAAUCCAGACCGCCAGCUAAGGCCCCAAAAUCAUAGUUAAGUGGGAAACGAUGUGGGAAGGCAUAGACAGCUAGGAGGUUGGCUUAGAAGCAGCCACCCUUUAAAGAAAGCGUAAUAGCUCACUAGUCGAGUCGGCCUGCGCGGAAGAUGUAACGGGGCUAAAACUAUGUGCCGAAGCUGCGGAUGUAUACAUUGUAUACGUGGUAGGGGAGCGUUCUGUAAGCCGAUGAAGGUGUGUUGAGAAGCAUGCUGGAGGUAUCAGAAGUGCGAAUGCUGACGUGAGUAACGACAAAACGGGUGAAAAACCCGUUCGCCGAAAGACCAAGGGUUCCAGUCCAACGUUAAUCGGGGCUGGGUGAGUCGACCCCUAAGGCGAGGCCGAAAGGCGUAGUCGAUGGGAAAAUGGUUAAUAUUCCAUUACUUCUGUGUAAUGCGAUGAGAGGACGGAGAAGGCUAAAUCAGCCUGGCGUUGGUUGUCCAGGUGAAAGGAUGUAGGCAUGUAUCUUAGGCAAAUCCGGGGUACUCUAUGCUGAGAUCUGAUAGCAAGCUGUACUUGUACAGCGAAGUGGUUGAUGCCAUGCUUCCAGGAAAAGUCUCUAAGCUUCAGUUACACAGGAAUCGUACCCGAAACCGACACAGGUGGUCAGGUCGAGUAGACCAAGGCGCUUGAGAGAACUCUGCUGAAGGAACUAGGCAAAAUGGUACCGUAACUUCGGGAGAAGGUACGCUGUUGUUGGUGAUGGAACUCGCUUCCUGAGCUGACGACAGCCGCAGAAACCAGGCCGCUGCAACUGUUUAUUAAAAACAUAGCACUCUGCAAACACGAAAGUGGACGUAUAGGGUGUGAUGCCUGCCCGGUGCUGGAAGGUUAAUUGAUGGGGUUAGCGUAAGCGAAGCUCUUGAUCGAAGCCCCAGUAAACGGCGGCCGUAACUAUAACGGUCCUAAGGUAGCGAAAUUCCUUGUCGGGUAAGUUCCGACCUGCACGAAUGGCAUAAUGAUGGCGGCGCUGUCUCCAGCAGAGGCUCAGUGAAAUCGAAAUCGCUGUGAAGAUGCAGUGUACCCGCGGCUAGACGGAAAGACCCCGUGAACCUUUACUGCAGCUUGACACUGAACUUUGACCUUACUUGUGUAGGAUAGGUGGGAGGCUUUGAAGCUGGAACGCUAGUUCCAGUGGAGCCGUCCUUGAAAUACCACCCUGGUAAUGUUGAGGUUCUAACUCUGUCCCGUGAUCCGGGACGAGGACCGUGUCUGGUGGGUAGUUUGACUGGGGCGGUCUCCUCCUAAAGAGUAACGGAGGAGUACGAAGGUGCGCUCAGCGUGGUCGGAAAUCACGCGUAGAGUAUAAAGGCAAAAGCGCGCUUAACUGCGAGACCCACAAGUCGAGCAGGUACGAAAGUAGGUCUUAGUGAUCCGGUGGUUCUGUAUGGAAGGGCCAUCGCUCAACGGAUAAAAGGUACUCUGGGGAUAACAGGCUGAUACCGCCCAAGAGUUCAUAUCGACGGCGGUGUUUGGCACCUCGAUGUCGGCUCAUCUCAUCCUGGGGCUGAAGCAGGUCCCAAGGGUAUGGCUGUUCGCCAUUUAAAGAGGUACGCGAGCUGGGUUUAGAACGUCGUGAGACAGUUCGGUCCCUAUCUACCGUGGGCGCUGGAAAUUUGAGAGGAUCUGCUCCUAGUACGAGAGGACCAGAGUGGACGAACCUCUGGUGUACCGGUUGUGACGCCAGUCGCAUCGCCGGGUAGCUAUGUUCGGAAGGGAUAACCGCUGAAAGCAUCUAAGCGGGAAGCCUACCUCAAGAUAAGAUUUCCCUAGGACUUUAUGUCCUCUAAAGAGCCGUUCGAGACUAGGACGUUGAUAGGUUGGAUGUGGAAGCAUAGUGAUAUGUGAAGCUGACCAAUACUAAUUGCUCGUGAGGCUUGACUAU
RNAcentral lists this ribosomal RNA (2893 nucleotides) under Acinetobacter baumannii. RNAcentral describes it as "23S ribosomal RNA". It matches the Rfam family "Bacterial large subunit ribosomal RNA". The record is from RNAcentral. Lineage: Bacteria; Pseudomonadati; Pseudomonadota; Gammaproteobacteria; Moraxellales; Moraxellaceae.